GACGAGCGGCUGGCGGCGUGCCUAACACAUGCAAGUCGAACGGAGUCGGCCCCGCAAGGGACUGACUUAGUGGCGAACGGGUGAGUAACGCGUGAGCAACCUGCCUUUCAGUGGGGGACAACAGUUGGAAACGACUGCUAAUACCGCAUAAUGCAUUUUGACCGCAUGAUCGAGAUGCCAAAGAUUUAUUGCUGAAAGAUGGGCUCGCGUCUGAUUAGAUAGUUGGUGAGGUAACGGCCCACCAAGUCGACGAUCAGUAGCCGGACUGAGAGGUUGAACGGCCACAUUGGGACUGAGAUACGGCCCAGACUCCUACGGGAGGCAGCAGUGGGGAAUAUUGGGCAAUGGGCGCAAGCCUGACCCAGCAACGCCGCGUGAGGGAAGAAGGCUUUCGGGUUGUAAACCUCUGUCCUUGGUGACGAAAAAAAUGACGGUAGCCAAGGAGGAAGCCCCGGCUAACUACGUG
This 466-nucleotide ribosomal RNA is filed under the name uncultured bacterium. Its description in RNAcentral is "bacterial SSU rRNA". It matches the Rfam family "Bacterial small subunit ribosomal RNA", at positions 35 to 507 of the family's 1533-position model. The record is from RNAcentral.